This 1475-nucleotide ribosomal RNA is filed under the name Parcubacteria group bacterium GW2011_GWA2_47_9. RNAcentral's name for it is "bacterial SSU rRNA". It matches the Rfam family "Bacterial small subunit ribosomal RNA". The record is from RNAcentral.
UUUGAGGAUUUGAUCAUGGUCCAGGAUGAACGCUGGCGGUGUGGAUAAGGCAUGCAAGUCGUGCGGACGCAAUUGUUGCGUUAGCGGCGAACGAGUUAGUAAUACCCUAGUACAUACCUCGAAGAGGGAAAUAACUGGUCGAAAGAUCGGCUAAUGUCCCAUAGUCCCGCAAGGGUAAAGUCGCAAGACGCUUCGAGAUUGGCUUCGGUCCUAUCAGCUAGUUGGUGAGGUAAUGGCUCACCAAGGCUACGACGGGUAGGGGGGCUGAGAGGCUGUUCCCCAACGACGAGACUGAGACACGGCUCGUACACCUACGGGUGGCAGCAGUCAAGAACAUUCGACAAUGGACGAAAGUCUGAUCGAGCGACACCGCGUGCAGGAUGAAGGGCUUCGGUCUGUAAACUGCUUUUCUCUCCGAGAAAGCCGCAAGGUUGAUGGUAGGAGAGGAAUAAGAAGCGGCUAACUUCGUGCCAGCAGCAGCGGUAAUACGAAGGCUUCAAGCGUUAUCCGGAUUUAUUGGGCGUAAAGCGUGCGUAGGAGGUGUGAUGCGUCUUGUUUUAAAUGUCCGGGCUUAACCUGGUCGCUGGACAAGAUACGGUCACACUAGAGGAUGCUAGAGGUAAGCGGAACACACGGUGUAGGGGUGAAAUCCGUUGAUAUCGUGUGGAACACCGAAGGCGAAGGCAGCUUACUGGGGCACUCCUGACUCUCAGUGCACGAAAGCGUGGGGAGCAAAAAGGAUUAGAUACCCUUGUAGUCCACGCCCUAAACGAUGCACACUAGCUGUUUCGAGUAUCGACCCUCGGAGUGGCGUAGCUAACGCGUUAAGUGUGCCGCCUGGGAAGUACGGCCGCAAGGCUAAAACUCAAAUGAAUAGACGGGGACUCGCACAAGCGGUGGAACAUGAGGUUUAAUUCGACGGUAAACGAAGAACCUUACCAGGGCUUGAAAUGCUCUUGAAGGAUUCCGGAAACGGGAUUCGUCGUAGUGCAAAUUACGACAAGAGCACAGGUGUUGCAUGGUUUGAAUUAUGGUCGUCAGCUCGUAUCGUGAGACGUUCCCUUAAGUGGGGUAACGAGCGCAACCCCCAUCCAAUGUUUUAUAUGUCAUUGGAAACUGCCCCGCCCUUUUGGCAGUAUAGGAUAGUGCCAAAAGGGCGGGGAGGAAGGUGGGGAUGACGUCAAAUCCGCAUGGCCCUCUGAUGCCCUGGGCUACACUCGUGUUACAAUGGCCGACACAAAAGGCCGCGAAGCCGUAAGGCGGAGCCAACCCUAGAAAAUCGGCCUCAGUUCAGAUUGAGGGCUGCAACUCGCCCUCAUGAAGAUGGAAUCGCUAGUAAUCGUGGGUCAGCUAUACCACGGUGAAUACGUUCUCGAGUCCUGUACUCACCGCCCGUCAAGCCAAGGGAGCCGGUAAUACCCGAAGUUCCACGUUUCGUGGGCCCACGGUAAGAUCGGUGACAAGGGCUAAGUCGU